UCAAAUCCUCUCACUCACACUGCAACAACCUCUAACCGUUGUGUGUCAGAAGUUAAGAACUUGAAACUACACGCGAAAAAGGUGGACACAUUUCGCUGAAAUGUCGUUUAUAUAAAAUAAACGUUUUCGCUAGUGCCAACAGUGGUGUCAUUAUGUUUUGCUUUUGUACCAGUUAAAUUGUUGCGUUCGAAAAUAGUUAUGUAGUUAGUUGUGUGUGGCUUUUGUGUACCUGUGUCGUUUCUACCUACCUACCUGUCUCUUUAAUUAUGAAGACUGAUGGGGUAUUGUUUUUGUUGUUUGUUGCUGGACUGGCUUUUCAUCAGGUGACUUUUGGCGCAGAACUGGUCAUUCACAUCCCUGGUAAUUUAGGUCAAGAUGGCGUAGUAUACAGAUUAGAUUACUUCCCUCCUAUUGGUCAUCCGGCUCCAAACACCACUAUUGCUUCUAAGGACAUCAGAGAUGUGAUCAAAUUUUCUCAGGCCCUUCCAGGAACAAAAUAUGAUUUUCGACUUUACUACUCCAACGCUACACACAACAUGCUCACCUGGACUGCCAAUUUUACAACAGUACCUGAUCCACCUUCAGGCCUCUCAGUCGACGUCCGAAGUGGAAAAACCGCCAUCAUAUCCUGGGAAUCUCCAGCCCAGGGUAGUUUUACUAGUUUUAAACUUAAGAUCAAUCCUCUUGUGCACAUUUCCGAGCCAAAACAACAACCAAUCAUCAUCGACAAUGUGGAUAACAACAUGUAUGUUCUGAAAGAUCUGGUUCCUGGAGCUACGUACCAAGUUCAGGCGUUUACCGUUUUCGAAAACAAAGAAAGCGUUGCUUAUACUUCUAGAAACUUCACCACAAAACCCAACACACCUGGGAAAUUCAUAGUAUGGUUCAGAAACGAAACAACCUUACUGGUUCUAUGGCAGCCCCCUUACCCAGCAGCUAUAUAUUCCCACUACAAGGUCUCCAUCGAUCCUCCAGAUGCAAACGACAGCGUCUUGUACGUAGAAAAGGAGGGAGAACCUCCUGGUCCUGCUCAGGCAGCUUUUAAAGGAUUGAUUCCAGGUAGAGCUUAUAAUAUUUCCGUUCAGACGAUGUCAGAAGACGAAAUUUCCACUCCGACCACUGCUCAAUAUCGAACAGUACCCUUGAAGCCGCAGAGGAUAUAUUUUGAGAAGGAUAAAAUUACCUCGCAUUCGUUUAUUGUCCAUUGGGAUCCUCCAAGCGGCAAAAGUGAAUUUGACAAGUAUCAAGUCUCCUUGGGCACUGUACGAAAACCUCCUCCUGUUCCAAGAUCAAAAGAAGAUCCUACAUUUUGGGAAUUCAAGGAUAAUUUAGAACCGGGAAAGACCUAUUCCGUUGUUGUGAAAACCGUUUCUGGAAAAGUCACUUCUUGGCCUGUCAGUGCUGAUGUUACAUUAAAGCCUCUUCCGGUAAGAUACGUCACUUCAACUACCGAUACAAAAACUGGGACAGUAAGUAUAUUUUGGUCCCCUGAUCCAGCUAGUACACAAGAAGGGUAUUUAGUUUCUUAUCAUGAAGCAGAAAGUACUACAGGAGACAGUAACACUAUAAAUACCAACCAGACUGAUAUUAGUUUAGAGGCUCUAUUGCCUGGAAGAAAUUAUUCCAUUACGGUGCAAACCGUCUCCAAAGACCAACAGUCAACCGAAGAAUCACUUUAUGUUGCCACCAAACCAAGUGCACCAGUGAUUGAAGACCUGAGACCUAUGAUAGAUGGUCUAAAUAUUAGUUGGAAGUCUGACGUAAACUCAAAACAAGACAAGUACGAAAUUCAGUGGAUCAGAAACGACACACACGAAAGGAACAUCAAAACAAGUUACGAAUCCAAAAUUAUUUUGAGCCAUCUCUAUCCUGGCGCUGGAUACUUGGUGAAAGUGUUUGCUUUAUCUCACGGAUUAAAAAGUGAACCACAUGAAUAUUUUCAACCUGUUUUUCCGAGACCACCUAGAAACAUGUCUAUUGAAAAAACUACAAGCAAUUCAGUAAUAGUGCGAUGGGUAGCGCCAAGUGAUUCGUUAAUAUCUGAGUAUGCGAUUAGGUAUAGAACCGAUUCAGAUAAUCAGUGGGUCAGAUUGCCAGCUGUCCAAAACACAGAAGCCGAAGUAACAGAUAUGUCUCCUGGGGAAAGAUAUACAAUUCAAGUAAACACGGUCAGUUAUGGUCUGGAGAGCAACGAACCGCAACAGUUAAACCAUACUGUCAAACCAAAUCCUGUGUCAAAUAUCAACCCUAUAGUAGAUUCUAACAACGUAACAUUAGAAUGGCCAAGACCAGAAGGUAGGGUAGAUAUAUACAUAGUAAAAUGGAAGGAAACUGGUAGUGGCUCUCAUCUAAAUAAGCAAAACAUUAGUCAAAACCAGAAUGGCACCGGACCUGUAAGAAUGCUUAUUGGAGAUCUGAUGCCUGGUGUAGAAUACGCUUUCGAAAUUCAAGCUAUAUCAAACGAUUUACAGAGCGAAAUAACGGUUGUUAAGGCCAGGACAAUGCCUUUAAUUCAAUCAGAGGUUGUGGUAGUGAAUAAGCAGCAGUCAACUGAUACAAUUAGUCUCAGAUAUACCCCAACUCCUAUUAGUAUAUCAAGAUUCGAUACUUAUCGAUUUUCUUUAUCGGAUCCGAGUAUACAAGACAAAGAAAAAGCUGCCAAUGAUUCCGAUAGAUUUGUUACAUUUACUGGGCUGGUUCCUGGAAGAUUGUAUAAUAUUACAGUGUGGACCUUAUCUAAAGAUGUCGCAAGCCAACCCUUACAAAGGCAAGAUAGACUAUAUCCUGAACCCAUCACAAGCAUAAACUCUACAUACAUAUCCGAUACCGAAGUCACUUUAGCAUGGUCAUUACCGCACGGCGAAUUUAAUGCUUUCGAAGUUCAGUAUCUCACAACAGAGAACAUUUUUAUCCAAAACUUAACGACUCAUAACACCAUAAUUAUUAAUGAUUUGAAACCCCAUCGAAACUAUACGUUUACUGUCAUCGUGCGAAGUGGAACAGAAUCGAGCAUUUUAAGAAGUUCUUUGCCCGUGUCAGCUAUAUUUACAACCAAGGAGUCUGUACCUGGGAAAGUUGAGAAGUUUGAACCUGUAGACAUUCAACCAGGAGAGAUACAUUUCGAAUGGGCGUUGCCGAUGACCGAACAGAAUGGUGUUAUUAGGAAAUUUACUAUUACUUAUGGUUUGGAGGGAGAAACUCACACGACUUCUCAAGAUUUUGGACCCAACGAGUUUAGAGGAACUAUAAAACCGUUAGAACCAGGAAAAACUUAUGUUUUUAAAAUACAAGCUGAAACAAGAGUAGGUUUUGGCCCAGAAACCGAAUGGACGGAAAAAAUGCCUAUAACCGCACCUCCCGUGCCGCAGCCCCAAGUAGUGCCAACUGAAGUGUGCAAGAGUCCCACGUCCAUCCAGAUACGAUUCAGAAAGAAUUAUUUCAGUGAUAUUCAUGGACCGGUUACAGCAUAUGCUAUUAUAGUAGCUGAAGACGAUUCUAAAAAUGCUUCAGGUCUAGAAAUGCCAAGUUGGAGAGACGUUCAAGCAUAUUCAGUGUGGCCUCCGUACCAAGUCAUGGAACCAUACUAUCCCUUCGUGAAUAGUUCUCUAGUAGAAGAUUUUACGAUUGGUAGUGAAUCAUGUGAUAUACGCCAACUGGGGUACUGCAAUGGGCCUCUUAAAUCGGGAGCUACUUAUAAAGUGAAAAUUAGAGCAUUUACAGCACCGGACAAGUUUAGUGAUACAAGCUAUAGCUUUCCUAUUCAAACAGAUCAAGAUAAUACUCCCAUAGUUCUUGGAGUUAUCAUUCCCAUAAUUUUCAUCGCUCUACUUUUCAUCACUGUCAUUUUUAUUAGAAAAAGAAGAGCAGCUGGUAAGAGGAAGGCUUCGGAAGCUAGAGUUAAUGAUACUUCUAUGUCCUUGCCGGAUUCCGUUAUAGAAACUAGUAGACCUGUGCGGAUUGAAAAUUUCUCUAAUCACUAUAGGAUUAUGUCCGCUGAUUCAGAUUUUAGGUUUAGUGAAGAAUUUGAGGAACUAAAACUCGUUGGUCGUGAUCAACCUUGUACAUUUGCGGAUUUACCGUGCAAUAGACCUAAGAAUAGAUUUACGAACAUUUUACCAUAUGAUCAUUCCCGAUUUAAACUUCAACCCGUUGAUGAUGAAGAAGGCUCUGAUUAUAUCAAUGCAAAUUAUGUACCGGGUUAUAACUCUCCGAGAGAGUUCAUAGUCACACAAGGUCCUCUACAUUCCACUCGAGAUGAUUUCUGGAGAAUGGUAUGGGAAUCAAACUCUAGGUCAAUUAUAAUGUUAACUCGUUGUGUCGAGAAGGGUAGAGAAAAAUGCGAUCAUUAUUGGCCCUAUGACACGAUGCCAGUGUAUUAUGGCGACAUCUCUGUUCAAAUACUAAAUGAAUCUCGAUAUGCUGACUGGAACGUAUCAGAGUUUAUGGUUUGUAGGGGCGAAACUCAAAGAAUUGUUAGGCAUUUCCACUUUAGUACUUGGCCUGACUUUGGUGUUCCGAACCCACCACAUACAUUGGUUAGGUUCGUUAGAGCAUUUAGAGAAAAGGUACCCCCCGAUCAACGGCCAAUUGUAGUGCACUGUAGUGCUGGAGUUGGUCGAUCAGGGACAUUUAUAUGUCUAGAUAGAAUCCUGCAACAAAUUCUAAAGUGCGACUACGUCGACAUAUUUGGAAUAGUUUUCGCCAUGAGAAAAGAAAGAGUGUGGAUGGUCCAGACUGAACAACAAUAUAUUUGUAUUCACCAGUGCCUUUUGGCAGUGUUAGAGGGUAUAGACUUGACGACAUCUCCUAGAGAGAUUCACGAAAACCAAGGAUUCGAAGGCAAAGGUGUUGGUGCUACAGUUGACUCGGAUUUUGCACCAGGGGAAAAACUGAGGUAGAACAAUUAACGAGGCGCACAACUGUAAUGCUUAUUACCUCUUUUACUUUUGAUGAUGAAGGUAUAGCCGAGUCAGGAAUGUAGAAAAACUUCUAUCAACCAUGAACAAAAUAAUCACUAGGUAGCUUUGAUGAAGCAUGUUUUAAACGAUGACAUGAAGGUUAUAUUUGCUAGUUAAUAACUUAUUUUUCAGUAUAAAAAAGUAAAAUUGGUAAAGAUAAUUUUGUACUAUUUGUUAUAUAUUUUGUACAAUAGUAGAAGUACAAAUAGGAAACAUUAUUGCUUCCAAUUAUUUUGGAACCUAAUUAUUGGUUAUGUAUGUUGCUUUCUUUAUCAAUUUUAGCAAUUAUUGUUACCUGUUUUGUUGUUCAAAUUAAAAUGUAUAGUCUACAGAAUUUUUAAAAUAUAUAUUGACGUUUACAAAAAGUGAAUUGGUCAAAAUUUUUUGAUCCAUAUAUCUCUAGGCCCAUUUUAGAUAUUGUUACAAAUAUGUAAUUAGAAAUACCCAGCCAGCGAGAAAACCCUAAUUAGAGGUUAUUAUAUAGUAAAAAUAUUACAUUGUUCAAAACAUAGACAUAAUACCUAGACUGCGCAUUGCUAUCUAAUACUGUUUCCCCAGUGUGACAGAGAAAAGUGUUUGUAAACAGGAUAUGCAUCUCUUUCUAAUCAACGGGGUUUCUCCAAUGUCAUUGUGUUUAUCCACCACGUGACUUUCCCACUGCCGCCGAUUAGAAAGAGAUGCGUAUACCCUAUUUACAAAAACUUUUCUCUGUCGCACUGUGCUAAAAGGUUUAGAUUGCAGCACGCAGCCUAGGUAUUAUGUCUAUGGUUCAAAAUUGUAUUAGGAAACUUUUAAAUAAGUUAGGUUAUGUACAUAAUAAUGUGUGCAUAACCACAACACUUUUAUUGACACUCUAGUUAGGUUUGUGUCUACAAUUUAGUUUCCCUGAAACCAACCUUUCUUUUAUUGCAUUUUAAUUUGGGUUUUUAGAAAUAAUAUUGAGCAGUUUUAAAAAUAUAUUUAUUUUUUAAUAAAAUAAAACUGUAUGUGAGAAUACGGUGCAUGAUGCAUAUCAUACUAUAGCAUAUACAUACAUUCAGCAUUUCUGUAAUUCGCUUUAUGUAGAAAUGUGUAUUACGCCCUAAAAGUCAUGAUUGCCCUGUUCUUUCUGUCUGAAAGUCUGCUCCAGUCAUAUUAUGAGAUAUUUUGCCCAAUAUUGCAGCUUAUUUAUAGUGGUAGAUUGAAGAUCUUCAAACUUCCCACUACCGAGUGUACAUAAUACAAAGGCAUCGUCUACCUUAAAUUGCAAAAAAUAGAGACCACUGUGGCUCUCUGAACUACGUACUAAUCGCUGAAAUAUUUGAGAAACUGUAUCUUCCAGAAACACCAAUUUCUAUAGUCCUUAAUAAGCCGACAUCUAUAAAAAUGUGUUUUUUUUUUUGUUUAAAAUUUCUUUCUCAAAGAAUUUAUUUCUGUACUUACUUUACUUUAUCAUGUCCGGACAUGUAAUUCAUAGAAUUUUGGACCAGUAUCGGGCUACGUCAGUUCCAUCUUUGUUGGCUAGCCACAAAUCUUCCGAGGAUACACCGAUGAGGACAGUUUCUCCAUGUAAUAUGUUCCAUGUUCUGUAUUUCUCCACAGUCACAGUUCACAUCAUCUUGGUUUAUUUUCUCCCAUUUUACCAUGUUUGAUUUUACUGGAGCGACCCCCGUUCUUAUCCUAUUCACAGUUUUCCACGUUUUAAUGUCUAGGGAUUGGCAGGUCCAUUGAACCUGGGGAAGAGGAUAAUUCUCAGGUUUCAUCCUGCUCCGUUUCAAGAAAGCUUUUCCUGGAUUUCAGUCGCUUUUGUGGCGUUCGAGCUUUGUAUAGGAUAUGCCGCUCGUCCGCGAUUUGUUUAAUUUUCUCUAUGGGCUCUGCAACGCCUCUGCGUGCUGAGGGUUCUGAAAAACUCGCUGCUUUAUAUAUAUUUGAGAGUGGCGUUGGUUUCAUGCAUCCCGUUACUAUCCUGCAUGUCUCAUUUAUCGCAGUUUUAACUUGUUUGGUGUAGGCAGAUCUGCCCCGUUGAAAAACACAAUGCUUGUCCCUAAUAACACCAAACAUUCCAUGUAUGUUCCUAUAAUGUACACACAGGACAUUGAAAACAUUCCUGAAAUGUCCUCAAAAGCACAAGAACGUCCCCUAAAUGUCCCAUAAGUCAUGCGUCAGCAUUUUAAACAUUCCUUGAAUGUCUUGUUGGAACAUUCCAUGAAUGUCUACGAAUGUUCUUUGGACAUUCACAGUAUAUUUUUAGACAUUCUCUUGAUAUAGUCGCUGAUGUGACAAUACCUCCGAUUUGUUUUUUUCAUGAGUUUUGUAAGAGAGACUAAAAACAUUUUUUACAGUCACCUCCUGUUUUCAUAUGAUAUUUUUUGACAUGUUUUGUACUAAAUUCAACUAUCUAUUUACUACAGAACAUGUCAAAAUUUACAUGUGAAAACAGGAGAUGACCCUAAAAAUGGUUUUUCGUCUCCUACAAAAUUCAUGAAAAAGCAGAUAGAAGGUAUUGUCACAUCACCGACAAUAUACCAUAAGUAUAUGUGGCCAUACCAAAUAAUACAUCCUUGAUAAAUAUAAACAUUGUAUUGAAUGUACUUGGUCUAGUACACCCCCAUAGUGGGCAUCCAUGUCCAUACAGGUAUUAAUAUUUGUUUAUAAAGUAAUAACUUAUUAUGCAUCGACAAUUCUUCCAACUAGCCAAUACACUUUUUACAUAUAUCUUUCUUUUGCCUUUCAUAGCCACAAGGCUACGUUUCCUUCUUAGUUUUUUUAUAGAACACUUUCAGCUGAUUCUAAAAAAAAUUAAAAUGAAUGGUAAUUUUUCUAUUCUUUACAAUUAAAAAUCAAAAGAAUAAAGAAAAUUGAAAACGGAUUUUAUUAUACUUACAUAAUUGUUUAAACAAAAGAGACCCAGUCAGAGCAAAAGUAACAUACAGAAAAGCAAAAAAAAAGCCACUAAUUCUAAUUCUAAUUUCCAUUUUACAACCAAUCAUAAAUUUUUAGGUUAUCAUGAAAUGUGAAAAUGUGAUGACCACGCGCCAUGCGACCCUACUUACAUAGAACACGAGCGGCAAAUUUGAAAAUGAACGCAAAUUGAAUAGUAAAUGGCCUCACUUAAAAUAUAGGACAUUGGUAGUAUGUUCAUAGAAAGUCUUGUGGUAACAUUCCACCGAUAAUUUAAUCAGAUGUUCACCGAAUGUUCCUUGAAUGUCCAGGACAUUCAAACAUUAAUAGAACUUUGAUAGUACAUUCCUGGAAUGUUUUGUGUUGUUAGGGGUGCCGUUGUUUUACUUCCCGUUAUCUUCCUGGGUAUGCUGUUCCUAGUUGUUACUUUCUUUCUCGUUUUAAUGGAAUGUUCUCUAUAAAUGAGGGACCGGUCCAGAGUUAUUCUAAGAUAUAUAGGUUGGUCUGUGUGUUCACUGUGAAUACUUGGUUGGUGCGAAGGUGAAAGGAGCAGACUUGAUUUUAGAUUGAUUUGGUCGCAGGGAAUUCUGCGAGUAGUACGCUGUAAGCUGUAAAGUUUAUUUUCUACGAGCCCUAACAAAUAUAUGUUGGAACAAGCAGUUAUUUUGCGAAGAAAAUACCAAUUUACCUAAAUUCUUUUAUUUCAUUUUUUUAAAUUGUAGAUAUGAAAUUAACAACUUUUUUGGUGUGUAGAAUUAUGCUUACACUUUAAUUAUAUAUUUUAUAUUGAUUUUUGAUUAAUUGUUAGAUAAUCAAAAAAUGCUGACAACUAAAUAUUGGAACAAGAGGUUUUUAACAAAUUAAAUAGACAAGGCGUAGAUAACGUUGCCCUUAGCUUGAAUAACAGCCUGAACUCUAUUAGGCAUUGUAUCAACUAGGCCUUCACAGAAUUCAGGGGUGAAACUAUCUCAUAUUUCUUGCAAUUUAACACGUAGUUAUGGCAAAGUACGCUGAGGGUUAUUUCUUGGGCGUCGUUUCAUUUUGUGCCAAAGUGUCUCCAUUGGAUUAAGAUCCGGGCUGCUAGAAGGAUGUGACAAAACUUUAAUGUCAUGUUCUCCCAUCCUUUUUGUGGUAGAUUUAGCCAUAUGGCAAGAGGUGUCCUGUUGAAAGAUAAAAUCUCCGGAUGGAUAUAACGUUGCCGCACUUGGUAAAAACGAAUGUCCAAGGAUAUCUUGAUAUUUGACUGAGUUUACUAUGCCUUCAAUAAAAUGUAAAGUUCCCAACCACUUGGUCGACACACGCCACACCAUGAUGUCCUGUGGAAACUUUACAUUCUUUUUGAGACAAUCUUUAUGGAAUGUUUCUGUUUUUCCCGAAUCACACGCUUUUGGUAAUCUCUCACACAGACAUCAAAUUUGCUUUAGUCGCUAUAAUAGAUAAUAUUUUAUCCCAAUUAAGUUUGGUCAACGAAAUUUUUGAUUUAGCCCAAAUAUAACGAUUCCUUUUUUGAGUUUCCGUCAACAAUGGUUUUUCUUUGGCCUAUUCGAAUAAAUGAAAAAUAGAAAAUUUAUAUCGCAAAGAAGAACCUAUCAGACAUACCUUAUAAAAACUGAGACCGCCUUUGUGGAUAUAUUUGCGACAGCAUUAUCUGGAAACAUUCAUCCCAGUUUCUCUAUUUCAUCUAGGAGUUAUCGCGUAGAGUACAUAAUACUGUCAGGUUCACCAUAUUUCUUAAUUAUUAUAUUAAACACAGUAGUUGUUGCUACAGUCAAUUCACUGGAAAUUUCACGCAUUGUUUUCCCUUUGUGACAUUGAUGAAUAAUACUUUCUCCCACUUUUGCAUCAGUAGGUUUUCCACUUGCCAUUAUUGUAUUUUAUUCCGUGACCAGACACCUCGUAAAGCGACAGUUCGUAACCGGACAGUUGGUAACGGACAAUUCGUAACAGCGACAGUUCGUAACGGCGACACUUGGUAACGGCGACAGUUCGUAACUAUAUAAAUUCGUAACGGAUAAUUCGUAACAUCCAAAUUGAAUUAUUAUGUUUAUUUUUGUUAACAUGGAAACUAGCUGAUAUUAGUUAUAAUUGAAAUUAUGUUUAUCAAUUUAACGAAUCAGUACGGAUAAACAUGUUUAACACAUUUUACAUUUCGUGUUUAGAAUAUUUAGAAGUCUUUAAACACAAACAAAUUUAUUUAAAUACAUAGAAACUUUUAACAUUAUUUAUAAAAAUUUUAUCACUCUUAUUGUUCCUUAAAUUUGCAUAUACCUAGACAAAGGAACAAUGAAGUACCUAAUUCCUGAAAUCUUUAAUCUGAGAACCGUCUUUAGACAUUCCAAACUUUUUAAAUAAACAUUUUGUAAAGGGGAAAGAUUAUAAUUACCUGUUAUUAUAAUAAACCUUGUGAUUAGUAAUAGCUUUGGGGCAUUCAAUCAACGGUUAUAGUUGAUAAGAGGGAUGGCUUGUAAUACUUUAAUACUUGGUUUACCUACUUUUAUUAUAUUCUGAAACACGAAAUAUGAAAUGCCUUAAAAAUGUUUAUCCUGAUACUGAUUCGUUAAAUUGAUAAACAUAAUUUCAUUUAUAACUGUAAUAACAGUUAAUUUCCACGUUAACAACAGUAAACAGAAUAAUUCAAUUUGGAGGUUACGAAUUGUCCGUUACGAAUUUGUAUAGUUACGAACUGUCGCCGUUACGAAGUGUCGCCGUUACGAACUGUCGCUGUUACGAAUUGUCAUGGAACCAUUUUAUUCACAAUAAAACUGACUCACUCAAUAUUUAGUUGUCAGCAGUUCGAUUAUUAAACAAUUAAUUGAACAGUAAUCAACAUAAAAUAUAUAAUUAAACCGUAAAAACAAUUCCAUACAUCAUUAAAAAUGUUAAUUUCAUAUUUACAUUUAAAACAAAUUUAGGUAAAUUGUCAUUUUAUUCGAAAAAUAACUGCUUGUUCCAACAUAUAGGUAGUUGUUAGAGCUCGUGUAGACCAUAUUAAGAUUCAUUUCUGAUUGAGGCUCUAAAAAAGUUCUCAAAAUGAGAGAAACUAGUCAAUUAAACACAUGAUGCAGCAAGUGUUUUAAAUUAACUUGUCUCUUGAAUGCUAGAACAACAUGUGCCCAGUUCCAUCAGCUUUUCUAUUAAAUAUUUCUCCAAAUGGCUACCCAAUUGGCCCUGAACGGUAAUAAGCUGAAAAGAAUCAUUACGAGAUUGUUUUAUUUUUAAUAACUAUGUAAAUUGAUACAUUUUAUUUUAGACAACGGUAUUUUAUAUUGUGGACCAGUUACAAUAAUAAAAAUGUAUUGAAUUUGUCAAAUAACUUGUAUUUUUAAAUUAGUAAGAUACUGUGAUAAUUUCUAUACGAAUAGAAUUAAGUAAAAACAACUUGUUAUAUUUUUAUGCUUCAAUUUUAGACUAACCUAUUAUUUGUAUUGUGCUCUGUACUUAAUUUUACACUAAAACUAAAAUAUUUUAUCUACAAA
Molecule: unclassified non-coding RNA, 11314 nt
Filed under: Diabrotica virgifera virgifera (western corn rootworm)
Lineage: Eukaryota; Metazoa; Arthropoda; Insecta; Coleoptera; Chrysomelidae
Description: tyrosine-protein phosphatase 10D
Source: RNAcentral